UCCCUGGUAGCUCAGUUGGUAAAGAAUCCGCCUGCAAUGCGGGAGACCCAGGUUCAAUUCCUGGGUAGGGAA
RNAcentral lists this transfer RNA (72 nucleotides) under Ovis aries (sheep). It matches the Rfam family "tRNA". Rfam says of the family: Transfer RNA (tRNA) molecules are approximately 80 nucleotides in length. Their secondary structure includes four short double-helical elements and three loops (D, anti-codon, and T loops). Further hydrogen bonds mediate the characteristic L-shaped molecular structure. tRNAs have two regions of fundamental functional importance: the anti-codon, which is responsible for specific mRNA codon recognition, and the 3' end, to which the tRNAs corresponding amino acid is attached (by aminoacyl-tRNA synthetases). tRNAs cope with the degeneracy of the genetic code in two manners: having more than one tRNA (with a specific anti-codon) for a particular amino acid; and 'wobble' base-pairing, i.e. permitting non-standard base-pairing at the 3rd anti-codon position. The record is from Rfam by way of RNAcentral. Lineage: Eukaryota; Metazoa; Chordata; Mammalia; Artiodactyla; Bovidae.